Camelina sativa (false flax) is the source of this 1017-nucleotide non-coding RNA. NCBI's taxonomy places the organism in Eukaryota, Viridiplantae, Streptophyta, Magnoliopsida, Brassicales, Brassicaceae. The record is from RefSeq and is a predicted model, not a curated record.
AAACUCAAAAUUUUGAAAUUGGAAGAGAAUGAAUGGAUCCGCAAACCCCUGCGAGAACCACAGAGUUGGAUUCGUCUUCGAUUUCAAAGGUCAGGGUCGUCCUUCGAGUUCGUCCCCGGGAGAUUUGCGCCGGCAAUGACGAGAGCUGCCGAAACGAAAGCUAUCAGCUGGAUGCGUUUUACGGGAGAGAUGAUGAUAACGUGAAGCAGAUCUUCGAUAGAGAAGUAAGCCCUUUGGGUUUUGAUUCCUGGGGUGGUCUUUCACGGUUUCAACGCUACAGUGCUUGCUUAUGGGAGCCACCAAGACCUUUUUAUCUAUGCAGGACAUAGGUAUCCCUUUCAGUGGUCUGGUGUUCUACAUCUUAAAACCACACUUCCCUCAUACUUUAUGCAUGCACAGGGAUCCAUUUGUGACCGCAAGGAACUUUUUUGGUGGGGAAACUCUUGCCGCUUCACAUCUAUGGGAACCUUUACAGAAUCUGCAGUUAGCUUCUCCAACCAAAGAAGAUGAGAUAGACACAUCUGGCGACGAGAAACUAUUGGUAUCAGAAGCAAGCUUUGAGAGGUUUUCAAUAGCUGAUUCAAACACAUGUAUGAAUGAACAAAGGAGAUAACGAGUCUUGAGGAAUCGGAAUUAAAAGGUUUGAUCGGGACUGGAAAAAAAAUAGAAGACUUUGUUGGUUCAAAGACAACUAUUCAGAUCAGGAGCCAUGCCCAAAAAUACUUUUUAAAGGUCCAGAAAAAUGGGACUUUAACACAUGUGCCACCCCCUAGGCCUAAGCGCAAAGCUGCUCACCCAUAGCCUCAAAAGGCAUAAAAGAAAUGGCCAACAUGUAAUCAAUCUGACCGCAACUCAAUUCUGCAGCUCAAAUGUCGCUUCAUGUUUCCAUGUCCUUUCCUACUCAAAUAAACAACCUUCCUGGCUACACUUCAUGGGAUGAUGAUACCUCCACAUUGCUUAAUAUAGCCGUAAGCGGGGUUACUCCACCAGAAUAUGAACUUGAUACUUUUUGUGGAG